This 253-nucleotide ribosomal RNA is filed under the name uncultured bacterium. Its description in RNAcentral is "partial 16S ribosomal RNA". It matches the Rfam family "Bacterial small subunit ribosomal RNA", at positions 524 to 776 of the family's 1533-position model. The record is from RNAcentral.
UACAGAGGGUGCAAGCGUUAAUCGGAAUUACUGGGCGUAAAGCGUGCGUAGACGGUUAUGUAAGUCAGGUGUGAAAGCCCCGGGCUCAACCUGGGAAUUGCAUUUGAGACUGCAUAGCUAGGGUGCGGAAGAGGGAAGCGGAAUUUCCGGUGUAGCGGUGAAAUGCGUAGAUAUCGGAAGGAACAUCAGUGGCGAAAGCGGCUUCCUGGACCAGCACCGACGUUCAGGCACGAAAGCGUGGGGAGCAAACAGG